UUUUGAGUGAAAUAUAAUGCCUAGAACUAUACCAUACACGAACCACUCCAUUUCAGAACGAACUUCGUACGAACCUGAAUUGUCCGAUUUCAAACCCCAAUCGAUAUCGGAUUGAGUCCAAAACUUGGGGAACAUCAUAAUAUUGUGAGAGGAGUCAUUUGGUGGGUUUUGAGUAAAAUCCAAUCUCUAGAACUAUACAAUACACCAACCACCCCAUUUCAGAACGAACGUCGUACGAACCUGAAUUGUCCGAUUUUAAGGACCGAUCGAUAUCGGAUUGGGUCCAAAACUUGGGGAACAUCACCUGAAUCGUCCGAUUUCAAGGACCAAUCGAUAUCGGAUUGAGUCCAAAACUUGGGGAACAUCAAAAUAUUGUGGGAGGAGUCAUUUGGUGGGUUUUGAGUGAAAUCGAAUCUCUAGAACUAUACAAUACACCAACCACCCCAUUUCAGAACGAACUUAGUACGAACCUGAAUUGUCCGAUUUCAAGGGACCACUCGAUAUCGGAUUGAGUCCAAAACUUGGGGAACAUCAUAAUAUUGUGGGAGGAGUCAUUUGGUGGGUUUUGAGUGAAAUACAAUCCCUAUAACUAUACAAUACACCAACCAC
This 609-nucleotide long non-coding RNA is filed under the name Prunus persica (peach). Its description in RNAcentral is "long non-coding RNA (PPER_LNC008653)". Lineage: Eukaryota; Viridiplantae; Streptophyta; Magnoliopsida; Rosales; Rosaceae. The record is from RNAcentral.